This 369-nucleotide ribosomal RNA is filed under the name uncultured eukaryote. RNAcentral's name for it is "partial 18S ribosomal RNA". It matches the Rfam family "Eukaryotic small subunit ribosomal RNA", at positions 592 to 975 of the family's 1831-position model. The record is from RNAcentral.
CAAUAGCGUAUAUUAAAGUUGUUGCAGUUAAAAAGCUCGUAGUUGGAUUUCUGGUCGGAAGCUCCUGUCCUCUGAUGAGCGUACAAGUGCGUCCUACCAUCCUUCUGUUAACCUUUAAGGCUUUCGCGGCUUUCUAGGGGCGCAGAUAUUUUACCUUGAGAAAAUUAGAGUGUUUCAGGCAGGCUAGCGCCGGAAUACAUUAGCAUGGAAUAAUGGAAUAGGACUUUUGCCUCUUCUGUUGGUCAUGAGGCUCGAGUAAUGAUUAAUAGGGAUAGUUGGGGGCAUUAGUACUUAACUGUCAGAGGUGAAAUUCUCGGAUUUGUUAAAGACUAACUUAUGCGAAAGCAUUUGCCAAGGAUGUUUUCAUUA